GACGAACGCUGGCGGCGUGCUUAACACAUGCAAGUCGAGCGAUGAAACACCUUCGGGUGUGAAUUAGCGGCGAACGGGUGAGGAACACGUGAAGAAUCUGCCUUCAACUCUGGGAUAACUCCGGGAAACCGGGGCUAAUACCGGAUAUGAGCCUUGAUCGCAUGAUCGGGGCUGGAAAGUUUUUCGGUUGAAGAUGACUUCGCGGCCUAUCAGCUUGUUGGUGAGGUAAUGGCUCACCAAGGCGACGACGGGUAGCCGGCCUGAGAGGGCGACCGGCCACACUGGGACUGAGACACGGCCCAGACUCCUACGGGAGGCAGCAGUGGGGAAUAUUGGGGCAAUGGAGGAAACUCUGACCCAGCGACGCCGCGUGAGGGAUGAA
Molecule: ribosomal RNA, 382 nt
Filed under: uncultured bacterium
Lineage: Bacteria
Description: bacterial SSU rRNA
Rfam family: Bacterial small subunit ribosomal RNA
Source: RNAcentral